UACGUAGGGACCAAGCGUUGUUCGGAUUUACUGGGCGUAAAGGGCGCGUAGGCGGCGCGACAAGUCACUUGUGAAAUCUCUGGGCUUAACUCAGAACGGCCGAGUGAAACUGUUGUGCUAGAGUGCAGAAGGGGCAAUCGGAAUUCUCGGUGUAGCGGUGAAAUGCGUAGAUAUCGAGAGGAACACCAGAGGUGAAGACGGGUUGCUGGGCUGACACUGACGCUGAGGCGCGAAAGCCAGGGGAGCAAACGGG
RNAcentral lists this ribosomal RNA (253 nucleotides) under uncultured bacterium. RNAcentral describes it as "partial 16S ribosomal RNA". It matches the Rfam family "Bacterial small subunit ribosomal RNA", at positions 524 to 776 of the family's 1533-position model. The record is from RNAcentral.